GUGUUGAAAUCCAUACACAAAAGUCAUUACUACGGCGUGUUGUGCAGCUUUGCAAUAUUUUUCAUGACGAAAACAGUUAUUUUCAUUUAUUGAUAAUGAAUUCGAAGUAAAUAAUACCUGAAUACUAUCUUGAAUUCAAAAACAUCAGAAUCAAAAUAGUUAAGUUUGUGUCUUUUUUUUUCUUUUCUUGUUUAGCAUUUGGCAGCCUCCAAAUUUUACGGAGAAUUGUCAUUGUAAG
RNAcentral lists this long non-coding RNA (238 nucleotides) under Mytilus galloprovincialis (Mediterranean mussel). Lineage: Eukaryota; Metazoa; Mollusca; Bivalvia; Mytilida; Mytilidae. The record is from RNAcentral.